Molecule: non-coding RNA, 45 nt
Organism: Heligmosomoides polygyrus
Lineage: Eukaryota; Metazoa; Nematoda; Chromadorea; Rhabditida; Heligmosomidae
Source: Rfam
CCAACGGCCCUCUUUAGGGCCACAAAUUGCGACAAGUACGAAUCU